UCCAUCGUGAGGUGGAAUCUGAAGGAAGUCGGCGGCAAAGCUCUGGCACAUAUGUUGUGGAC
Molecule: non-coding RNA, 62 nt
Organism: Candidatus Margulisbacteria bacterium GWE2_39_32
Lineage: Bacteria; Bacillati; Candidatus Margulisiibacteriota
Source: Rfam